This is a long non-coding RNA of Cylas formicarius (sweet potato weevil), 713 nucleotides long. RefSeq lists it as uncharacterized. Lineage: Eukaryota; Metazoa; Arthropoda; Insecta; Coleoptera; Brentidae. The record is from RefSeq and is a predicted model, not a curated record. The transcript has 3 exons.
UGCUCGACCAGUUCCUCAUUGACCAGAUGCACCUAUACCUACCGCCCGCCCCAUCGUCAUAUCGUCAGAAUCAGAGGAAUCUAAUUCCGACCCAGAUAACUCAGACUUCACACCAGAUUUCAUAGAGUCUGAAGUGUUUAGCCCGAGUGAAUUGAAUGAUUGAAUUACAGAUUGCAUCUUCCAAAGGAUGCAUUCGAAUUGUUAGCGUCUAGAUAACAGAUAUUCCUCCAACAUGCGUUCUGAAGUCUUGAAUUGACUAGCGCAUGAUACUGGAUUCGAAACUUUUCAUAUAUAAAUCUCUGGAUAAAUAAUAUCCGCUUUACAAAAAAUUGCAAGUGAAGGCCAGAUACCAAGGUUGGAGCCGGAAGAAGAAAAAAGGAUUCUAAGACAAACCUUUUGCCAAGUUAAACCAGAGGUUACUCGUUGGUUGCUAAUUAGAGGAAGGUCAAGAGCUUGUAUUGAAAGAAAAUCACGGACCAUCUUCGAUAAAACCGGAUACUCUGUCUCAUGUGUCCUCCACCACUCUAAAAUGUCUUCCGAGCUAGCGGCUAUCGGAUUACUUAGGUACUCUUCCAAUUCGUCUAUAACUAAGCGUUGAAGAUAAGAUCCAGAUCCAGAUGACAUCGAGGGACAUGCAUACAGUUUCUCAAAGUCUAUUACGUCGUCAUCUUCAUCAUAUUCACGUACUGUCUUUUCAUUUUUUGGUGAUUCUG